CGUGGUUGUCGUGGAUUACAUCGUGGUUGUCGUGGAUUACAUCGUGGUUGUCGUGGAUUACAUCGUGGCUGUCGUGGAUUUCAUCGUGGUUGUCGUGGAUUUGUCAAAGUAAAUUUGGGCUAAGGAUUACGUUAAUCUACGAAUAAAGAACGACGACGAGCAAUGGUGUAAUAGUCAAACAAUCAAAAAUUGACUUACCGUUCAUAAACUUUGUAUUUUGUCUUUAUAAUCAAUUUGACAUUGUGUUACACAUGAGUUUAAAAAACACACGAUAGUUUCAUGGUGGUUUGUCCAAUUAUGAUAUUUAUCAAGAUUUGAGUAAAGCUGUAUGAGGGAAACACAAAAAUAAUCAAUGGAAUAAAUCCUGACACUACGUAGAAAAAUAAAUAUAGUAAUUUCCACUUCAUCAAAAAACAUUACGCUUCAUUUGUUGAUCGUCAGAGUAUGUUUCAUCCUAUGAACAAAACCACCUUACACAACACUGCUGGAAGUUUUGAAGAGGCAGUUGGUUGCUCAUGACGACCAACCUAUAGUGAAAAAAGAAUGCAAUGGUGGCACAUUAUGAUUCAUAUAUGGCAUCAUUGUAUCAUGUAUGUCGUGGGUCAAAGCAUAAUUGUUGUCAAUCACAGUCAUAUAGUCAUCGUAGAUUAACUCACAGCUGUCGUGGAUUACGUGUACUUUAUUGUUGUCAUGUAUUUACAUCGUCGUUAUCGUGGAUUUACAUUAUCGCUAUACCUUAAUCUACGAAUAAAGACCAAAGACGACGUUUAAGGUAGCAGGUUUAUAGUGUUUUAGUUAAAAUCCUGGUGAUCUGCACUAACAGGAAGAUGAUUGAUCAUUGGCUGAGUGUAUAACAAAGUUAGUUGUUCUUUUGAUUCUUGUUAGUGUUGUUGUGUUGUUUUUUUAGUUUUGUGCAUGUGAUGUAGUGCUUUUGCCGUUGAAACAUUUGCCUGAAAACGAUGAUACAUCUUAUAUUGCCGGAAACUUUGAUCAAAGUGUCGUAUAAUGUAAGAUUAUCAUUGUGCAAGGUAAAAUAUAUAUGUCUGAUGUCGAUUUUUAUAAGUUUUUCGUUGUUUUGAUCACCAGGAUACACAAACCUAAGUUCAAGGAAAUAAGCAUGGGUUUCUUUGAGUUAUGGUCGUGUUUAUUAUCUUGUUUAUUAUACUUCUUAAAAC
Molecule: long non-coding RNA, 1175 nt
Organism: Xenia sp. Carnegie-2017
Lineage: Eukaryota; Metazoa; Cnidaria; Anthozoa; Malacalcyonacea; Xeniidae
Exons: 3
Source: RefSeq, a predicted model, not a curated record